GUAGGGUGCAAGCGUUGUCCGGAAUUAUUGGGCGUAAAGAGCUCGUAGGCGGUUUGUCGCGUCUGCUGUGAAAACUCAGGGCUUAACCCUGAGCCUGCAGUGGGUACGGGCAGACUAGAGUGUGGUAGGGGAGAUCGGAAUUCCUGGUGUAGCGGUGGAAUGCGCAGAUAUCAGGAGGAACACCGGUGGCGAAGGCGGAUCUCUGGGCCAUAACUGACGCUGAGGAGCGAAAGCAUGGGGAGCGAACAGGAUUAGAUACCCUGGUAGUCCAUGCCGUAAACGUUGGGCGCUAGGUGUGGGGCUCAUUCCACGAGUUCCGUGCCGCAGCUAACGCAUUAAGCGCCCCGCCUGGGGAGUACGGCCGCAAGGCUA
Molecule: ribosomal RNA, 372 nt
Filed under: uncultured bacterium
Lineage: Bacteria
Description: bacterial SSU rRNA
Rfam family: Bacterial small subunit ribosomal RNA
Source: RNAcentral